GCCGGGAGGGGGCGAAUACAAGACCCGAAAGGGAAAUCAGCCCAUCCGACCUGUGUGCGGUUUUUCGACUCCCGGCUCCCGGCC
RNAcentral lists this non-coding RNA (84 nucleotides) under Pseudoxanthomonas sp. OG2. RNAcentral describes it as "sRNA-Xcc1". It matches the Rfam family "sRNA-Xcc1". The record is from RNAcentral. Lineage: Bacteria; Pseudomonadati; Pseudomonadota; Gammaproteobacteria; Lysobacterales; Lysobacteraceae.